RNAcentral lists this long non-coding RNA (320 nucleotides) under Elaeis guineensis (African oil palm). RNAcentral describes it as "long non-coding RNA (EGUI_LNC013417)". The record is from RNAcentral. Lineage: Eukaryota; Viridiplantae; Streptophyta; Magnoliopsida; Arecales; Arecaceae.
GGUUGGAUGAGUACCUUUAUAACUGAGGUGGUUGUUUCUCUUUUCUCACGAGGAUGUCUUCCCACCGGAGAUGAAGGAUGCACCCGACGAACUCUCUGUCUCCUUUCUUUUUUUUUACCGAUGACGAUCGAAGGGUUGCCGGCAGGGGUUGUACGACUGUCACAGGGAGGAAGAUUAAAAAAAAAAGAAAAAAGAUAGUGUUAGGAUUUGAAUAUUUUAGUCAUUAGAUUAUUUUAAAUUAAUAUUAAAUUUUAUUUUAUUUUAAAAUAAUUUAAUAAACAUACAUCAGUCAUCUAACUCCAAAUAAUAAGUUACAUGGC